AUGCAAAUUCGAAAUGAAAGCCCGGAAACCCCGGAACUAGAACUGGUAUCUCUUCAACUACCUGUGAAAACUGAUGUGAUGAAAAGGGGAAUUUGAAGGAGCCAUUCCAGAAGACAGGGCGAAAACUGAAGUGCAAUCAGGGCCAAGAAAAACAGAAAUAGCAGGACCUGGAGUUGCAUAGGUUGAAUAGUUGAAUAGGCUGCUCUCCUCAGCUGGCAGGAAACCUGGCAGCCUCCUGGUGCCCAAGGACUGAAAACCUUAGAAGCACCUGGAGUUGGCAGCCUUGGCAUGGUCAGGUUGGCACCUCUGGAGGUGCCCAGGCUUCCCUGGCAGCAUUGUGAGCAGUGGAUGGUGUUGAAGGGCAGCCAGAGGAGGAAUGGAACACAUGCUCCUUGCUAACCACACGGACAAGGCCACGUUCACAGGUACACAAAGGCAACGCAGUUGCUCAGGUGCUUCGGUAUCACAGCCAAGACCCCUUCGGGGGAAGCUAGUCGGAUACUGGGACCCACAUUCCAGACUACUGAGCCGCGGUCGCGCCCUCGGCUCCGUUUCUGCUCCCUCCACCCCACGAGGACGGGGGUGGAAGGCCACCUUCGAUGGGUGCAUCCUCCACGAUGACCUGCUAACAAAGGUGCAUGGAUUUCAGAGUCUGAUUGGCCUACAACAGCAUUUGGCUUGUGGAGACAGUGGUUCCCUGAUGAAAAACUGCCAUGAUACCCUGCACUUGAUGGAUCAGCUGGCACCACCCAGACUGAUUAACUGGCUCAUGUGAUCUUGUGGUCCCCACCCAGGAACUUAAUCAGCACAAGGAGACAGCUUCAACUCCCUAUGAUUUCAUCCCUGACCAAUCAGCACUCCUGGGCUCACUGGCUUCCCCCUACCCACCAAGUUGUCCUUAAAAAGUCUGCUCCCCAAAUGCUCGGGUAGACUGAUUUGGGUAAUAAUAAAACUCCGGUCUCCCACACAGCCA
This 973-nucleotide long non-coding RNA is filed under the name Homo sapiens (human). RNAcentral describes it as "long intergenic non-protein coding RNA 910". The record is from RNAcentral. Lineage: Eukaryota; Metazoa; Chordata; Mammalia; Primates; Hominidae.